Molecule: transfer RNA, 74 nt
Filed under: Planctomycetota bacterium
Lineage: Bacteria; Pseudomonadati; Planctomycetota
Description: Planctomycetes bacterium (groundwater metagenome) tRNA-Arg
Rfam family: tRNA
About the family: Transfer RNA (tRNA) molecules are approximately 80 nucleotides in length.
Source: RNAcentral
GCGCCCGUAGCUCAAUUGGAUAGAGCGUUGGUCUACGGAACCAAAGGUUGUAGGUUCGAGUCCUAUCGGGCGUG